Molecule: ribosomal RNA, 347 nt
Filed under: uncultured bacterium
Lineage: Bacteria
Description: partial 16S ribosomal RNA
Rfam family: Bacterial small subunit ribosomal RNA
Source: RNAcentral
CCUACGGGUGGCAGCAGUCGAGAAUCAUUCACAAUGGGGGAAACCCUGAUGGUGCGACGCCGCGUGGGGGAAUGAAGGUCUUCGGAUUGUAAACCCCUGUCAUGUGGGAGCAAAUGAACAAGAUAGUACCACAAGAGGAAGAGACGGCUAACUCUGUGCCAGCAGCCGCGGUAAUACAGAGGUCUCAAGCGUUGUUCGGAAUCACUGGGCGUAAGGGGUUCGUAGGCUGUUUUGUAAGUCGUGUGGGAAAUGCGCGGGCUCACCCCGCGGACGGCACAUGAUACUGUGGGACUAGAGUAAUGGAGGGGGAAUCGGAAUUCUCGGUGUAGCAGGGAAAUGCGUAGAGA